CUGUCAUCUCGCCGCCCCGCAAGAAAAAAACAAGCUAGUUUUUACAACAAUUGAAAAUUUACGUAAAUAAUUAGAAGCGUGCCUUAGGAAGAAUUAUUUGUCUACACGAUGGUUUUCAACUUUACCGCCUUCACCUACAUCGUUGCCUUGAUUGGCGAUGCAUUCUUGAUAUUUUUCGCAAUAUUCCAUGUCAUUGCCUUUGAUGAGCUGAAAACAGAUUAUAAAAAUCCAAUAGAUCAAUGUAACAGCCUUAAUCCGCUAGUCUUACCUGAAUAUUUGCUCCACAUAUUCCUCAAUUUGUUAUUCUUGGUGUGCGGCGAAUGGUUCUCCCUGGCCAUCAACAUACCCCUCAUUGCGUAUCACAUUUGGCGCUACAAAACUCGUCCAGUCAUGUCCGGACCGGGUUUGUACGAUCCUACAACGGUGCUGAAGACGGACACCUUGUCGCGUAACAUGCGUGAGGGCUGGAUCAAGCUGGCCGUCUAUUUGAUUAGUUUCUUCUACUACAUCUAUGGCAUGGUUUAUUCGCUCAUCUCCACAUAGAGCUGCCUGGGGAUCGGGAUCUCUACAUCGUGUAUAAGUUGUCAUAAAAACAUACGCCUGAGGGAUAGUGGAUUAUUCGACUAGCCGGAGACAUGGAGAACCUGAUUACGUCCAAAACGCUUAUCAACUAUACCAACAUAGAUAUCACAAUCUAACAUAAUGGAACUGACUUGGAGGAGACCUACACAUUAGCUGCCUCAAAUAAACGCAUUUUUUCCACGUU
RNAcentral lists this unclassified non-coding RNA (766 nucleotides) under Drosophila pseudoobscura pseudoobscura. Its description in RNAcentral is "GA19182". Lineage: Eukaryota; Metazoa; Arthropoda; Insecta; Diptera; Drosophilidae. The record is from RNAcentral.